CACUUCGUUAUAAACGGUUUGCCCGAAUUAGAUUUUCUCUUAUUUCGGCUUUUUUACAUAAAUUUUUUGCUUUCUUUUUAGUUUCUAUCAAAAAGUUCUAACGGUUAUGAAAAAAGUGCUGUAUAUGACUUUGUAAAAUAUUCUUUGGGUAAUGGAGUGUUUACUGCACCAGCAUCCAUAUGGAAGAUUCAUCGAAAUAUCUUACAUCCAGUAUUCAAAGAAAAAAUGGUUUCAACUUAUGUGGACUUAAUAGUAAAAAAUUCAAACAGACUAAAUAACAUUUUAGAAACUACUAACGAAAAAAACAUAGAUUUCAUGCAUUACGUACAUCUUUGUACGUUGGACAUCAUAUAUGAUAGCCUAUUGGAAAGUGACUUAAAUUUGCAGAGCGAUCCGGAUUGUAAUCUUGAUAAAUAUAUGUCAAAGUAAUAAUUAGUAAAAUAUUUUUUUAUUUAUAUUGUAAUCUACUAUUAUUG
RNAcentral lists this long non-coding RNA (476 nucleotides) under Polistes fuscatus (common paper wasp). Its description in RNAcentral is "uncharacterized LOC122518931". The record is from RNAcentral. Lineage: Eukaryota; Metazoa; Arthropoda; Insecta; Hymenoptera; Vespidae.